Molecule: non-coding RNA, 359 nt
Organism: Cinara cedri
Lineage: Eukaryota; Metazoa; Arthropoda; Insecta; Hemiptera; Aphididae
Source: the annotation of a GenBank genome assembly
AAAUGUCAUACCAACAUUUGAGUAAUAAAAAGCUUACCACUUUGGUAAGAACACCGCAGCAUCGUGAUUACACUGUUUAAUCUCAAUAUAUAGUGUACAGUUACUAUACAGGCUGUCCCGCGAAGAUAUACCCCUUUAAUAUCUCUGGAUAAAAUAAAGAUAAUCAAAUUCUGUUAUCGCGUAACAAGGUUAGGUCAUUCCCUAGAUAACAUCGGUUUUCACAUGGGUUAAUAGAAUUUAAGACGGCUAUUACUUAAAAAUUAUUCAUCAGAUAUAAAUGUGUGUUGCAUUAAAAUUUACAGCAUGGCUAUCUUAACAUUUUCCGAAAAUAAUAAAAUAUAAACUUAUUUUUUGAAUAA